AGUCGAGCGGUAGAGAGAAGCUUGCUUCUCUUGAGAGCGGCGGACGGGUGAGUAAUGCCUAGGAAUCUGCCUGGUAGUGGGGGAUAACGUUCGGAAACGGACGCUAAUACCGCAUACGUCCUACGGGAGAAAGCAGGGACCUUCGGGCCUUGCGCUAUCAGAUGAGCCUAGGUCGCAUUAGCUAGUUGGUGGGGUAAUGGCUCACCAAGGCGACGAUCCGUAACUGGUCUGAGAGGAUGAUCAGUCACACUGGAACUGAGACACGGUCCAGACUCCUACGGGAGGCAGCAGUGGGGAAUAUUGGACAAUGGGCGAAAGCCUGAUCCAGCCAUGCCGCGUGUGUGAAGAGGUCUUCGGAUUGUAAAGCACUUUAAGUUGGGAGGAAGGGUUGUAGCCUAAUACUCUGCAAUUUUGACGUUACCGACAGAAUAAGCACCGGCUAACUCUGUGCCAGCAGCCGCGGUAUUACAGAGGGUCCAAGCGUUAAUCGGAAUUACUGGGCGUAAAGCGCGCGUAGGUGGUUUGUUAAGUUGGAUGUGAAAUCCCCGGGCUCAACCUGGGAACUGCAUUCAAAACUGACUGACUAGAGUAUGGUAGAGGGUGGUGGAAUUUCCUGAGUAGCGGUGAAAUGCGUAGAUAUAGGAAGGAACACCAGUGGCGAAGGCGACC
RNAcentral lists this ribosomal RNA (669 nucleotides) under Pseudomonas putida. RNAcentral describes it as "bacterial SSU rRNA". It matches the Rfam family "Bacterial small subunit ribosomal RNA", at positions 60 to 726 of the family's 1533-position model. The record is from RNAcentral. Lineage: Bacteria; Pseudomonadati; Pseudomonadota; Gammaproteobacteria; Pseudomonadales; Pseudomonadaceae.